RNAcentral lists this ribosomal RNA (1370 nucleotides) under uncultured prokaryote. Its description in RNAcentral is "partial 16S ribosomal RNA". It matches the Rfam family "Bacterial small subunit ribosomal RNA", at positions 57 to 1426 of the family's 1533-position model. The record is from RNAcentral.
GCAAGUCGAGGGGCAGCAUGAUCUGCUUGCAGAUUGCUGACGACCGGCGCACGGGUGCGUAACGCGUAUAGAAUCUACCUUACACUGAGGGAUAGCCUUGGGAAACAAGGAUUAAUACCUUAUAGUAUUAUUGAUUGGCAUCAUAUUCUUAUAUUAAAGGUUACGGCAAAAGAUGAGUAUGCGUUCUAUUAGCUAGAUGGUGUGGUAACGGCACACCAUGGCAACGAUAGAUAGGCGCCCUGAGAGGGGGAUCCCCCACACUGGUACUGAGACACGGACCAGACUCCUACGGGAGGCAGCAGUGAGGAAUAUUGGACAAUGCAGGCAACUCUGAUCCAGUCAUGCCGCGUGCAGGAAGACUGCCCUAUGGGUUGUAAACUGCUUUUAUACAGGAAGAAACACUCCCUCGUGAGGGAGCUUGACGGUACUGUACGAAUAAGGAUCGGCUAACUCCGUGCCAGCAGCCGCGGUAAUACGGAGGAUCCAAGCGUUAUCCGGAAUCAUUGGGUUUAAAGGGUCCGUAGGUGGAUAAUUAAGUCAGGGGUGAAAGUCUGCAGCUCAACUGUAGAAUUGCCUUUGAUACUGGUUAUCUUGAGUUAUUAUGAAGUAAUUAGAAUAUGUAGUGUAGCGGUGAAAUGCAUAGAUAUUACAUAGAAUACCAAUUGCGAAGGCAGAUUACUAAUAAUAUACUGACACUGAUGGACGAAAGCGUGGGGAGCGAACAGGAUUAGAUACCCUGGUAGUCCACGCCGUAAACGAUGGUCACUAGCUGUUGGGUUUUCGGACUCAGUGGCUAAGCGAAAGUGAUAAGUGACCCACCUGGGGAGUACGUUCGCAAGAAUGAAACUCAAAGGAAUUGACGGGGGCCCGCACAAGCGGUGGAGCAUGUGGUUUAAUUCGAUGAUACGCGAGGAACCUUACCAGGGCUUAAAUGUAGAUUGACAGGGCUAGAGAUAGCUUUUCCUUCGGGCAAUUUACAAGGUGCUGCAUGGUUGUCGUCAGCUCGUGCCGUGAGGUGUCAGGUUAAGUCCUAUAACGAGCGCAACCCCUGUUGUUAGUUGCCAGCGAUUAAAGUCGGGAACUCUAACAAGACUGCCGGUGCAAACCGUGAGGAAGGUGGGGAUGACGUCAAAUCAUCACGGCCCUUACGUCCUGGGCUACACACGUGCUACAACGGCCGGUACAAUGAGCAGCCACCCCGCGAGGGGGAGCGAAUCUAUAAAACCGGUCACAGUUCGGAUCGGAGUCUGCAACUCGACUCCGGGAAGCUGGAAUCGCUAGUAAUCGUAUAUCAGCCAUGAUCCGGUGAAUACGUUCCCGGGCCUUGUACACACCGCCCGUCAAGCCAUGGAAGCUGGGGGUACCUGAAG